AGUCUGCGUAGUGCAACGCAGGGCGGGGCGCCCGCGACCGGAACAACGAAUCAAGGCACAUUACGGCCGGCUGGCAAUACAUUAAGAAGAGAAAACGGAACAAAUAUGAUGUUAAAUAACAAAGGGGAUGUCCCGUGAGCACAGUGAUCUGCAGCGCCUGCCAGAGGGGAGAAGGUCAAACAGGUUGUGGCCCAGUGCUUGAUGUAAACCAGACUUUGAUGGACUAACAGAGCGGACGUGCUGACUGGUGUGGAAACUGAUCUGUAGUGUGGUAGGUUGAGCUUCCUCAGCUGGAACCUGAAGAACAUCGUCUGCUGGGCCUAUUUUAUGAUGGUCUUCAUGGCCGAUACCGUGCUAUUGGGUACGGAUUAUUAUUGUUAGACAUAUUUCACCUCUUCACCUGCGCAUUUGCAUUUCUGCAUGUUUGUGUAUUUAUAGAGAUGAUUACAUGCCCUGUAUGUCAGCCUAGCAGAUGCAACAGUUAAAUCUGCAAUAUCCAGUGCACUUUUUCACACAGCUAUGUGUUGUUACAUCUGUUGUAUUGAUUAUUUGUGCAGUCACCACUGUAACUGAUAUAUCGUGUGGGUACUCCUAGCUCCCCUGUGAUUUAGUGUAUGUUUAUUCUCUGUUUUUAUUUGUUAGCUAUUACUCCCUUCUCCCCCUUCCCCCAUGUGUUGCACUUGUCUUGUUUACAGUCUCUGCACUUUAUGUAUAUAUACUGCGGUCUUGGGGAAUGAUAUUUUGUACCACUGUAUGCUGUGGAUUGUAUGUAGAUAGUAUAACAAU
Molecule: long non-coding RNA, 786 nt
Organism: Paramormyrops kingsleyae
Lineage: Eukaryota; Metazoa; Chordata; Actinopteri; Osteoglossiformes; Mormyridae
Source: RefSeq, a predicted model, not a curated record